Cannabis sativa is the source of this 777-nucleotide long non-coding RNA. RefSeq lists it as uncharacterized. The transcript is spliced from 2 exons. NCBI's taxonomy places the organism in Eukaryota, Viridiplantae, Streptophyta, Magnoliopsida, Rosales, Cannabaceae. The record is from RefSeq and is a predicted model, not a curated record.
AAUAACAAACCUAAUAGAUAAUAUUUUAUUCUACAUCAUCAGCCGCACCCCAUUUUAUUUAACAAAAAACAAAUCACAGAUCUCUCUCUUUCACUCUCAAUUCUCAGGUGGUGGUUUGCAGUGAACCACGAAACAGACAGCCACGGGUUCGGGUGGUUCACGGCAGGGGGUGGGGUUAAUGGUUCGCGGUGAACCUCAUAUCUUGUUCGCUCCAUCUCCUUCGGGGCUCAAAUCUCCAGCAAUCUCUCUAGCUCUUCAGUUCUUUCUAUCCCCGACUUUAUUUCUCAUGCGGAUUCGGUGUGCACGACAUUGACAAUGCCAGUAGCACUGAAGUUUUUGUCGAGAAAUGGCAUGCCGAUUUCCCGGUGGUAGAGAUGGCGGAGGUGGUCAUGAUAGUUUUGGGUAUUGGAUUUCUCGGCUAGAGCUCAAGAGGGGUAUUCUUCAGGAAAAGAAGCUGAGUCGCUUGUUGAUGAGGAAAAUUAUCAAGAGGAAGUUUAUGAUAAUAAUAAUAAUAAGCAUAUUAUUUUUACUGAUCAAGUUGUGCAGAGAUUUCUUAUUUGUAAAACUUUUAUUAUAUUAAAAUAUUUUAAUCUGUUAUUAUUUUUUUAACUUGGAAUGUAAUAUUAAUGGAUUAUUAAUUUUUUUUUAUUUCUAUAUAAUUGUUGAUAUGUAUUGAAUCUCAAAUUGGUAUUUAUUAAUUAUGUGGUUGAAUCUAAAUUGGUAUUAUUAAUUAUAUUAAUUAUCAUAGUAAAUUUUAAAUUUGAAAAUAAUUUUAUA